GAAAUAUGGACAAUGGGCGAAAGGCUGAUCCAGCAAUGCCGCGUGCAGGAAGAAGGCCUUCGGGGUGUAAACUGCUUUUGUACGGAACGAAAAGCUUUGGGUUAAUACCCUGGAGUCAUGACGGUAACGUAAGAAUAAGAACCGCCUAACUCCCUGCCAGCAGCCGCGGUACUACGUAGGGUGCAAGCGUUAAUCGGAAUUACUGGGCGUAAAGCGUGCGCAGGCGGUUUUGCAAGACAGAGGUGAAAUCCCCGGGCUCAACCUGGGAACGGCCUUUGUGACUGCAAGGCUAGAGUACGGCAGAGGGGGGUGGAAUUCCGCGUGUAGCAGUGAAAGGCGUAGAUAUGCGGAGGAACACCGAUGGCGAAGGCAACCCCCUGGGCCUGUACUGACGCUCAUGCACGAAAGCGUGGGGAGCAAACA
RNAcentral lists this ribosomal RNA (423 nucleotides) under uncultured bacterium. RNAcentral's name for it is "partial 16S ribosomal RNA". It matches the Rfam family "Bacterial small subunit ribosomal RNA", at positions 359 to 774 of the family's 1533-position model. The record is from RNAcentral.